Molecule: long non-coding RNA, 671 nt
Organism: Myotis lucifugus (little brown bat)
Lineage: Eukaryota; Metazoa; Chordata; Mammalia; Chiroptera; Vespertilionidae
Exons: 2
Source: RefSeq, a predicted model, not a curated record
UAAUUCAAAAUUGGUGUCUUUAACCCCAAUCUCAUUGUGCAUCACAGCGAAUACUGUGGUUUAAUUCCAGUCACUAAACGUAGAGUGUGUGUUGUGGUAAGUAGUGGGUUUGUCUUAGAUGAAGCUGGGAAAUCAUUCUAACACCUAACCUCUGCUUUUUGUCCCUUUCCCCACGUAGGACGCAGGCGCAGAGGGUGCGGAAGCCGCGGUGCUGCACGGGGCCCCAGGGGCUGCUCCCCCGCUACUCGGAGAGCCAGGCCGAAGGGCAGGAGCAGCUCUUCAAGCUGACGGACAACAUACAGGACGAGUUUUAGACUCACUGUUUCACUUCUGGAAAAUAUUGUGUAAUUACUUCCUGAUGCAGCGAAAACCCCACAAAGUCCCAGUGCCAUGGUUACUUCAACUUUGUGCUCCCAGAUCAAGUUUCAUCCCAUUUUUUUUUUCAUUUUAUUUAAUUAAUUAGUAUUAAAAAGAUAGUUACUGACAUGCGACUGAAGGUCUGGCCAGCUGCGGAGGCUUUAGUUUCGAAUGAAUCGAAUAUUUCUCUGGUAUGUUGCAGAAUUACCAUUGCUUCCCAUUUUUCUCAAUUUGGGUUUUGAAAUAGGAUCCCUCUGGCUUAAGCUGAUGUCAAAGUAAAAUUUGUCCUAUCUGAUUAAAUUGAUUUUUCUUUA